This 427-nucleotide ribosomal RNA is filed under the name uncultured Moraxella sp. Its description in RNAcentral is "partial 16S ribosomal RNA". It matches the Rfam family "Bacterial small subunit ribosomal RNA", at positions 355 to 774 of the family's 1533-position model. The record is from RNAcentral. Lineage: Bacteria; Pseudomonadati; Pseudomonadota; Gammaproteobacteria; Moraxellales; Moraxellaceae.
UGGGGAAUAUUGGACAAUGGGCGAAAGCCUGAUCCAGCCAUGCCGCGUGUGUGAAGAAGGCCUUUUGGUUGUAAAGCACUUUAAGUGGGGAGGAAAAGCUUAUGGUUAAUACCCAUAAGCCCUGACGUUACCCACAGAAUAAGCACCGGCUAACUCUGUGCCAGCAGCCGCGGUAAUACAGAGGGUGCAAGCGUUAAUCGGAAUUACUGGGCGUAAAGCGAGCGUAGGUGGCUUAUUAAGUCAGAUGUGAAAUCCCCGGGCUUAACCUGGGAACUGCAUCUGAUACUGGUAAGCUAGAGUAGGUGAGAGGAGGGUAGAAUUCCAGGUGUAGCGGUGAAAUGCGUAGAUAUCUGGAGGAAUACCGAUGGCGAAGGCAGCCCUCUGGCAUCAUACUGACACUCAUGUUCGAAAGCGUGGGGAGCAAACA